CGCUGUCUGCGUUAAACCAGCCAGGAGGCAGGCUCAGGAGAAGUGGAAGCCACGGCUUGAGCCCAGGUGGCCUGGCUGCAGAAUCCAACCUGCCGCCCGCUCUGCCCACAGCCCUUCUGCGGCAGCGCCUCUUGGGCCCUCUCCAGCCGCCGCUGGUGAUCUGGAACACCUUACGGAAUGAAGAAGUCUGCAGCAAAGCACCACGGCCGCCCUGCAGGGCCUGCGGGGACACUCUUGGCCCUCCUUGCGUGGACAAGGGCCCCUGCUCUUUGAGCAGUCUACGCAGUAGCAAAGGCGGGGGUCUGAGGCAUGGGUCUCCCGGCCUCCAGCCGUGAGUGCUUAGGAAAUAGUGUCACAUCUCUGAGCCCUGCUAUGGUCAGCCGAGAAGCAGGGGCCGACUCCUGACUACAGGCCUGUCACAGGAGCUGAGCAGCCCUGAAUGUGAAAAAGCUUGCCAUGGCUGGUUUUCCUGAUGUGAGCUUGGCUGUUCUCAUUGUCCAAGGAGCUCCAGUCCUCGCUGUCACUGGGAAUGGCUGCUGUUCUCAUCUGGUCUUCACCUUGAGCAUUGCUUCCUGGCUCCGGUGCAGCUCCCUCAGCCUGGUGGCCCAGGUCCUUCCUGCCAAUGGCACAGACUUUCCAGCUUCCACCACUGGCCUUUGGGCCUUCCCAGUGCAGAUCCUCGAUACAGACUUGCAAGAGACAUUGCCGUGGGCUCCAGGCCUCUGGCUGGACUCACAGAUGACAUUGCCUGGGCUCUAGGCCUUCAGCUGGACUCAUGUGGAUCCAGGCCCUCAGCUGGAUUCUUCAGGUCUCUAGUGUACAGACAGAUCUCUUACACUCUUCUCCAUUUGACUUUUUGAGUGAAUAUUCUAACUUAAUCCUAUAAGUUAUGUGUCCUGUAUUAAAUCUAUUCCCUUGCAAACCCUGACUACAACAGAAUUUGGUACCAGAGAAGUGGGGUCAUUGCUGUGACUAUACCUGGCCACAUGGUUCCAGAGCCUUUGGGAAUGGCUUGUGGGAAGAGUUCGGAAAGGUUCAGAGAUGCUGGCUGAAAAGGUAGAGCUGGAACGCCUUAGGCUGUACUGUACGGGAGAAUCUGCUCAGAGCUCAGGAAACCAAAAGGCUGAUAGAAAUCUUGCCAGUAAAGAUCAGACUCAGGAGGUUUCUGCACUGGCUGCUGGACUCCAGACCAUGUGUGUUAUGGGUUGGCAGAAGGUUUGUCUGCAUUUUGCUCAUGUCCAGAGACUUUGCCCAAGUCUGAAAUUAAGGGUGGUGGACUAAUUAAUCUGGCAGAAGAAAUUUCAAGGCAGUCUAAUGUUGAGGUGGUGGCAUUUUAAAAGCCCCUACUGUUAGGGGCUUUUAGUCAGAUUUAUGUUGAAAAUCAAGAGCACUGAGCCCAGCAGAACGAUUUAAAACAUUUUGAAUUUGGCCAGAAAGGAAGCUCCAGUAAAGUUGCAGUUUGCAAAAAAUAGAACAGAGGAGAUCUUGAUUGCUGAGAAGAAAUAGGAGAACAGAAAAGAUGGCCUGAGGGCAUCACAAGAACCAGCAGAACUCUACCCUUUGCAGCC
Molecule: long non-coding RNA, 1568 nt
Filed under: Heterocephalus glaber (naked mole-rat)
Lineage: Eukaryota; Metazoa; Chordata; Mammalia; Rodentia; Bathyergidae
Description: lncRNA (ENSHGLG00000049615.1)
Source: RNAcentral